Non-coding RNA from Nicotiana tabacum (common tobacco), 1386 nucleotides. NCBI's taxonomy places the organism in Eukaryota, Viridiplantae, Streptophyta, Magnoliopsida, Solanales, Solanaceae. The record is from RefSeq and is a predicted model, not a curated record.
GCUCUCCAGUUUUUGUUCUCUCUCUUGUGAGUUUUGUGUAAUAUGUGAUUCCUAUAAAUGCCUCUCACCAUUACCAUACAGUUGUAGAGUGAUGCACAUAUGGUGUUGAUAAGGAAAUCUUUUGCGAGGCAUUAUUUGGUUCUUAAACUCUUCAUUAUUUCAACGUAUUUCAUGCAUUGCAACAGACAUGGGGUGGUCUUCUGUUUUGAAACCAUGACAAGCUUGAACCAAUGACCUGAUCGAGAAAAAAAUCAUUGGCGGAUUUGAGAGGAGUUGACUCGAUGAGCAGGAAAACUACUAUCAAUUGAUAGGAAUCAUCAUGCAUCAUCAAUAAACCAUGGGGUUGGGCACUUGGGCAUGUCACACAACAAAAUGAUGAAGGAAUUUGCAUUGGAGGUUUGAGAAGAAUGCAAGUCGAUAUUAUUUUUACUUUCUUUUUUCCUGACAAGCAGUUGAUCAGAUGUGCUUAAUCCACCGAUUUAUUGUUUGAGAAAUUUGAGAAGCCUAAAAUAUCAGGUUGGUAAUUUGAAGGCAACCGAUUCUUUAUAUUUUCUCCCUUGAUUGAAACUGUUUAAAAGGUUUAAAGUUUUGAAGAAGUUCUCUGCCUCUGCCUCUACAAAAACAGGGUGCAGUACUGUUGCUCAAUAAAAAACAGAGCAACAAAAAAAGAAGAAGAAGAGAAGACCAGAAGAAGAAAGAAAAAAAACAGAGAAUAAAAAGACUCUCUGUCCUUUUUUUUUGCUGCACUGUUGCUCGACAACAAACAGAGCAAAAAAUUAGAAAGAUGAAGAGAAGAUCAGAAGAAAAGAAAAAUGAAAAAAAAACAGAGCAAUAGACAACUCUGUUCUGCACUGUUGCUCGGCAAAAAACAUAGCAAAAAAUAGAAAGAAGAAGAGAAGAAGAAGGAAAAAGAAGAAAGAAAGAGAGGAGAAAGAAGAAGAGAAGCUUACCUGGGCUGGGUGGACUUGUGUGCUAUGUUGUUUGAAGGUUGAAGAAGAAAGAAACGUGAAAUCACUGCAAGCCCUAAUAUUUUAAGCCCUAAUCUGCGCCUUUUUCGUUCUUUUUUUUUUCUUCAAAAAGCGACGCCACAGCUUGCCUCUCGCUACACAAGCAAAGGCGCUCGCCUUUUACAAUUGCAAUGCAACAGAGGCAAAAUAACGCAGGCUGCUCGCAUCGCCUCGCCUCACGCUAUUAGCGCUGAGGCGAGCGCUAUUUAUAACACUGCAAUUACCAUAGCCCUUUGUUAGUUUUUUUGUCAAUAAAAAGAUUUCAUGUCUUUUAUUCAUUACUCUAUCCCUUUAUACAUCGUAUCUGUUAGAACACUGAAGUAUUUACAUGAAUGUACUCCUUUUUUAUAUGAUAUCCUGGAUACUCUUGGAAAAUUAA